UAGGGAAUCUUCGGCAAUGGGGGCAACCCUGACCGAGCAACGCCGCGUGAGUGAAGAAGGUUUUCGGAUCGUAAAGCUCUGUUGUAAGAGAAGAACGUGUGUGAGAGUGGAAAGUUCACACAGUGACGGUAACUUACCAGAAAGGGACGGCUAACUACGUGCCAGCAGCCGCGGUAAUACGUAGGUCCCGAGCGUUGUCCGGAUUUAUUGGGCGUAAAGCGAGCGCAGGCGGUUUAAUAAGUCUGAAGUUAAAGGCAGUGGCUUAACCAUUGUUCGCUUUGGAAACUGUUAAACUUGAGUGCAGAAGGGGAGAGUGGAAUUCCAUGUGUAGCGGUGAAAUGCGUAGAUAUAUGGAGGAACACCGGUAGCGAAAGCGGCUCUCUGGUCUGUAACUGACGCUGAGGCUCGAAAGCGUGGGGAGCAAACAGG
This 429-nucleotide ribosomal RNA is filed under the name bacterium. RNAcentral describes it as "partial 16S ribosomal RNA". It matches the Rfam family "Bacterial small subunit ribosomal RNA", at positions 355 to 776 of the family's 1533-position model. The record is from RNAcentral.